ACCCCAGCUGUGAAAAUCAGGCAAAAUUCAGGUAAAAUUUCAGUUAAAAUUUUGAUAUUUUCAGGUAAAAUUUGCGUAAUAAAGUGAUUAUUUGUGUGAAAUGAUUUUGUAAAAUAUACAGUCAAUUUGCAUCCAAUUUGUUUGCGAAUUGCUCUAGAAAACGCCAGACUUGCAUUCCUAGAUCGAGCUUCAAAAAUGGAACAAUUUUCUGGGAAGGACCCCAAAACCCCCGUUUUCUCCCGAAACUUAGUAUGACAGUGCAAGUCAAUCACAAAAAGCUUUAUUAUAAUUAUUACACUUUAGGUAAAUAUUUAUUAAUUCAAAUUUAAAUUCCAGGUGAAAUCCUCCAACAACCUUCAAACUUCAAAUGCUUUGCUACGUUCCUGUAGACUGACACAAUAGUCGAAGAACUCAAAAAAAUUUCCCUAAGAGAUUUUUAAAAUGGCCGAAAAAAAACAAAUUUUGAGCCUUAUCCUAAGCACGCUGUUGCCAUGGUAACAAACUUUCAGCACAAAGGUAGCACAUUGCAAUUCUAAUCCAGUGCAAUGGCAAACGCGCCAAAAGAAAGUUUGUACGUUAAAAACUUAAAUUAACGGCUUUUGUAACCCAUAUACUGUACGCCUUAAUAAUUGAUUUUAAUGCCACAUAAAGAAUUAUAAUAAUCUCUUAAUAAAAACUUGAUUAAGGUUUUGUCUAACCUGGGGCCGGUUGUAUAAAAACGUAGUUAGCGCUAACUGCAGUUAAAAAGUAGUUAAAAAGCCUUAAAAAAUAGUUAACUUUAAUUACGUAGGUAAGCCGGUUGUAUAAAAGUGUAGUUAGCCUUAACUGCAGUUAAAAAGUAGUUAAAGUUAACUAUGCUUUAGGGUAUAGUUAACUGUCCAAAACGUAGUUAAAAAUGGCGUUUGUAUAGGAGUGAACAACAUUUUUCAGUAAAACAACAAUGUAAAGCAACGGUUACCUGAGAUUUUCAAUCGCUAUUUUUCCUGUGAAUGUUUCCUGACAAUAUAAACUCUUCAAACGCUAUCGCUUUGGUGUUUUUACGAAAACAGAACAUAUUUUUGCACAGGACGAUUUCUCGAAGACGAAGUAUGGUCCAUUACACCAAGAAACACUAAUAUGUAAUUGCCAAACAGCUAUAACUUGGUUUAACGUAGGCAUCUCAUAGAAAAACUGCAUUCUUUUAUAAUUUUUGUGGCGCUUUUUCCUUGUUUUCUUGUAUAUAUUUUUACUGUUUUCUAAUGUUUUGAAUAAAAUUCCCGCUUAUUUGGAAAAUACGAGUCCACAAUCAUGUUGAAAAUGUCUGUCAGCGGUCUUAAGUCAUGUAGUUAACUAACUACAGUUAAGGAUUUAACUACAGUUAGCGCUAAUUACGUUUUUAUACGAAGUUCAGGCCCAAAUCACAGAAUAGAGCCUGACACAAAACCUAUCUAAACUGUGAGAUUUCCGUCCAUCUGGUGGACGGGAAAUCUGAUUGGUUGAACAGCAUCAAGAAGGAUUUUGAUUGGUUGCAAGUUCACAUAAACAACAGUUUUAAAAAUAGCUCGGUCUAGGGCGAUAAUUAAUAUAAAUAUCAAACGCAAGUAACCGAAUUCCAUUAUCGAUUUCUUCGAAUUUCUUUUCUUUUAUGCUUUAUAGCAGAAAAUAAAUCAAACAAAC
This is a non-coding RNA of Paramuricea clavata, 1656 nucleotides long. The record is from the annotation of a GenBank genome assembly. Lineage: Eukaryota; Metazoa; Cnidaria; Anthozoa; Malacalcyonacea; Plexauridae.